This 460-nucleotide ribosomal RNA is filed under the name uncultured bacterium. Its description in RNAcentral is "partial 16S ribosomal RNA". It matches the Rfam family "Bacterial small subunit ribosomal RNA", at positions 338 to 795 of the family's 1533-position model. The record is from RNAcentral.
CCUACGGGGGGCAGCAGUGAGGAAUAUUGGUCAAUGGGCGCGAGCCUGAACCAGCCAAGUAGCGUGAAGGAUGACUGCCCUACGGGUUGUAAACUUCUUUUGUAAAGGAAUAAAGUGAGGCACGUGUGCCUUUUUUUAUGUACUUUAUGAAUAAAGCUCGGCUAAAUCCGGAGCAGCAGCCGCGGUAAUACGGAGGAUCCGAGCGUUAUCCGGAUUUAUUGGGUUUAAAGGGAGCGUAGAUGGGUUGGUAAGUCAGGUGUGAAAGUUUGCGGCUCAACCGUAAAAUUGCAAUUGAUACUGGCAGUCUUGAGUACAGUAGAGGUAGGCGGAAUUCGUGGUGUAGCGGUGAAAUGCUUAGAUAUCACGAAGAACUCCGAUUGCGAAGGCAGCUUACUAAACUGCCACUGACAUUGAUGCUCGAAAGUGUGGGUAUCAAACAGGAUUAGAUACCCGAGUAGUC